This 464-nucleotide ribosomal RNA is filed under the name uncultured bacterium. RNAcentral's name for it is "partial 16S ribosomal RNA". It matches the Rfam family "Bacterial small subunit ribosomal RNA", at positions 28 to 505 of the family's 1533-position model. The record is from RNAcentral.
GACGAACGCUGGCGGCGCGCCUAACACAUGCAAGUCGAACGAGCGAGAGAGAGCUUGCUUUCUCGAGCGAGUGGCGAACGGGUGAGUAACGCGUGAGGAACCUGCCUCAAAGAGGGGGACAACAGUUGGAAACGACUGCUAAUACCGCAUAAGCCCACGGGUCGGCAUCGACCAGAGGGAAAAGGAGCAAUCCGCUUUGAGAUGGCCUCGCGUCCGAUUAGCUAGUUGGUGAGGUAAUGGCCCACCAAGGCGACGAUCGGUAGCCGGACUGAGAGGUUGAACGGCCACAUUGGGACUGAGACACGGCCCAGACUCCUACGGGAGGCAGCAGUGGGGAAUAGUGCACAAUGGGGGAAACCCUGACGCAGCGACGCCGCGUGGAGGAAGAAGGUCUUCGGAUUGUAAACUCCUGUUGUUGGGGAAGAUAAUGACGGUACCCAACAAGGAAGGGACGGCUAACUACG